Molecule: ribosomal RNA, 443 nt
Filed under: uncultured bacterium
Lineage: Bacteria
Description: partial 16S ribosomal RNA
Rfam family: Bacterial small subunit ribosomal RNA
Source: RNAcentral
CCUACGGGUGGCAGCAGUGGGGGAUAUUGGUCAAUGGGGGAAACCCUGAUCCAGCGACGCCGCGUGAGUGAAGAAGUAUUUCGGUAUGUAAAGCUCUAUCAGCAGGGAAGAAAGAAAUGACGGUACCUGAGUAAGAAGCGCCGGCGAACUACGUGCCAGCAGCCGCGGUAAUACGGAGGGGGCAAGCGUUCUCCGGAAUUACUGGGUGUAAGGGGAGCGUAGACGGUAAUGCAAGUCUGGAGUGAAAGGCGGGGGCCCACCCCCCGGACUGCUCUGGAAACUGUGUAACUGGAGUGUAGGAGAGGCAGGCGGAAUUCCUAGUGUAGCGGUGAAAUGCGUAGAUAUCAGGAGGAACACCAGUGGCGAAGGCGGCCUGCUGGACUGUAACUGACGUUGAGGCUCGAAAGCGUGGGGAGCAAACAGGAUUAGAUACCCGGGUAGUC